GCCUGGGUGGCUCAGUCGGUUAAGCGUCUGACUUCGGCUCAGGUCAUGACCUCGCGGUCCGUGGGUUCAAGCCCCAUGUCAGGCU
Transfer RNA from Felis catus (domestic cat), 85 nucleotides. It matches the Rfam family "tRNA". Rfam says of the family: Transfer RNA (tRNA) molecules are approximately 80 nucleotides in length. Their secondary structure includes four short double-helical elements and three loops (D, anti-codon, and T loops). NCBI's taxonomy places the organism in Eukaryota, Metazoa, Chordata, Mammalia, Carnivora, Felidae. The record is from Rfam.